This 743-nucleotide long non-coding RNA is filed under the name Homo sapiens (human). Its description in RNAcentral is "non-protein coding SOX2-OT:121". The stretch from base 11 to 286 matches the Rfam family "SOX2 overlapping transcript exon 3". The record is from RNAcentral. Lineage: Eukaryota; Metazoa; Chordata; Mammalia; Primates; Hominidae.
GGGAUUGCAGUGGCAAAGCUAGGCUAGGUCUUGGAGGCUGGUGUAAGGCGAUGUGGGUGAAGGCAGGAGGCUGAUGGAAAGACUGGGGGGAAGAAAAGCCGAAAUGGAUUCACGGUGCCUUGGAUGAAGGACGAGAGGGGAACUGCAAGCUCCUUCAACUGGUUCUGUCCGGUGAGAAGUGAUCAAGCUUGGGCUGACAAGAGGCUCAGGGAGCCCUCACGUUCUUUCGCUUUUUUACCUGCCAAUCAAACUGCUACAAGACAACACCCUGAUCUGGCAUGGACAUUCAUUGCAGUCACCUGGAGUCACGGAAAUGACCAUGAUUGCCUGAACUUUCAUGACUUCUGUGGAUAACUGUGGUUGCAGAAAAGAGAAAACCUGGACCGUGAGGGACAUUUCACUCCCUGGGCUUUGGUACAUGGCCUCCCUACAGCGUUGGCUCAGCUCUAGCUACUUGGAAGGUCGUGGCAAUGCUGUCUCAGAAUGUCCGUUUCUAGAGUACAGAGAAGAAAUUCUAGCUUGACGUCCACGUGCAUUUGUCUGUGUUUCAGAGGAAAUUCCAAUUCUAAACUCUUGGAAGAAACAAUUUCUCGGCAUGCUGAAGAGAAUUGCUGUUUUUUGGCACCUGAAACACUUUUACCCAAGGGUUCUGAUUAUUUAAAUAAUUGGUAUGCUAUAAAUAUUCUGGUUGACAGAAAUGUGGUUUAAUGUAGAUGAGUUGUAAAAACAUGAGACAAACAUGC